This is an RNA transcript of Mus pahari (shrew mouse), 4914 nucleotides long. It is a transcript of the gene named zinc finger protein 280D, with no coding region annotated. Lineage: Eukaryota; Metazoa; Chordata; Mammalia; Rodentia; Muridae. The record is from RefSeq and is a predicted model, not a curated record. The transcript is spliced from 22 exons.
GCCCCGCUCCGCGAUGGGAGCCGGAGCGGCCGCGGCGUACAGCCCGCGCUCCUCCCUCGCCUCCUCCUCUUUCUCCUCCUCCUCAGGGCUCCAGUCAGGCCGAGCCGCUCCGCUCACGAAAGGCAAACUGAGAUACAACUUGCUGCUUUUUGUGGUCACAUGGUGACAACAUAUAUAAAGUCAGAUCUUCAACUUGAUGGGAGACAGUUCCUUUCAACCAAAAGAUACUUUAAAAAUGGCAGAACUCUUUAUGGAAUGUGAAGAAGAGGAGCUAGAACCAUGGCAGAAGAAAGUGAAAGAAGUUGAAGAGGAUGAUGAUGAUGAGCCCAUCUUUGUUGCAGAGAUAGCAAGUUCAAAACCAGCUAUUUCAAAUAUUUUGAACAGAGUUAACCCCAGCUCUCAUUCAAGAGGAAUAAAGAAUGGUAUACUUAAUCGAGGUUUUACUGCCUCAUUCAAGCCUACAAGUCAACGCUGCCUGAAUUCAACAUCAAAUCCUGUGGCUGCCUUGCCAGUAAAUUUUCAUCCUGAAUCUAGAUCUUCAGAUAGCUCUGUUAUUGUUCAGCCAUUUUCUAAACCUGGUUAUGUUACAAAUUCACCACGAGUUCUGUCUAAUAACUCUUCAGAGUUACUGUUUGACUUGACCCAGGAUACAGGAUUAUCACAUUACCAGGGGGGAUCCACACUUUCUAUUGCAGGUUUGAAUGAAGCUUCAUUUUUAUCAAAACGUCCUUCUGGUUCUGACAUAAGCAGUGUUAACCCAAAAAAGCCUAAACCCAGUGAAAAUAUUUCUGGAACAGAUGCCUCUUCUGUAAUCUCUUCAGAAAAGUCUCCACCAGUGAUAUCUCUACAAGUGGUACCAUCGCAAGGUGCAAAUUGUUCAUCAAGUCAAUCUAAAAAUGGAACAACUUUUCCAAGAGCAUGCCCCAAAUGUAAUAUUCACUUCAAUCUUUUGGAUCCUCUGAAAAAUCACAUGACGUAUUGUUGUCCAGAAAUGAUAAAUAACUUUUUGGGAUUGACUAAAGCAGACAAUUUAAAUUCAGCAAAUGAAGCUAAGACUCUUGAAUCAGAGAAAGGAAAAUUGAUAAUGUUAGUUAAUGACUUUUAUUAUGGAAAACAUGAAGGAGAUGCCCUGGAAGAACAGAAGACUCAUACAACCUUUAAGUGCUUCAGUUGCUUAAAAGUUCUUAAAAAUAAUAUUAGGUUUAUGAACCACAUGAAGCACCAUUUGGAGCUUGAGAAGCAGAGCAGCGAGAGCUGGGAGAAGCACACCACUUGCCAGCACUGCUACCGGCAGUUCCCCACGCCCUUCCAGCUGCAGUGCCACAUCGAGAGCACCCAUACGCCUCAUGAGUUCUCCACCAUUUGUAAAAUCUGUGAGCUAUCAUUUGAAACUGAACAGAUUCUUUUACAACAUAUGAAGGAUAACCAUAAACCUGGUGAAAUGCCAUACAUCUGCCAGGUUUGCAAUUACAGAUCAUCAUUAUUUUCUGAGGUAGAGUCUCAUUUUAGAACAUCACAUGAAAACACUAAGAAUUUGCUAUGUCCAUUUUGCCUCAAAGUUAUUAAAAUCGCCACGCCCUAUAUGCAUCAUUACAUGAAGCAUCAGAAAAAGGGAAUACAUCGUUGCACCAAAUGCAGACUGCAGUUUUUGACAUGCAAGGAAAAAAUGGAUCACAAGACUCAACAUCACCGAACAUUUGUAAAACCCAAGCAACUGGAAGGACUUCCCCCUGGAACAAAAGUUACUAUUCGAGCUUCAGUUGGACCUCUUCAGUCAGGAUCUUCAGUUACACCUUCUAUCAGCCCAAGCACUUCUAUCCUCCAGCUUUCACCUCCAGAGCCUGACAAUGAAACUGCUAAAAAUCACGUGAAGUUGAACACAAGUACACCAAACACAACCAUAUCUGAUCCCAGUAAAGCUAAUGAGAUCAAGUCUAAUGGCAGUAAAUCUAAAUAUAAGGCAAAAGUCUCCAACAUGCAGAAGAAACAAAGUACAUUGUCUAAUAGUAAUAAAAAAAGUAAAGUAAACACAGCACUGAGGAACUUAAGGUUACGUCGAGGUGUUCACGAGUGUAUUGAGUGUUCUUCUGAAGUAAAAGAUUUUGCAAACCAUUUUCCUACGUAUGUCCACUGUAGUUUUUGCAGAUAUAACACUAGCUGUAGCAAAGCCUAUGUAAAUCAUAUGAUGAGCUUUCAUAGUAACCGUCCAAGUAAAAGAUAUUGUAUAUUUAAGAAGCAUUCAGAAAAUCUCAGGGGCAUUUCUCUUGUGUGCCUUAAUUGUGAUUUCCUAACUGAUGUUUCUGGCUUAGAUAAUAUGGCUACACACUUAAGUCAACAUGAAACUCAUACUUGCCAAGUUCUAGUAGAGAAAGUUUCUGUUUGUAUCCCAACUUCUGAACGUCUUUCUGAAUGCAGAAGCAGCCCAGAGAUUUCAAAACAUGUCCAGGGUGUACCUGGACAGUGUCCUCUUCGAUGGACACAAGUGCUGCCUGUUCUCUCUUUCCCAGGAAUGAGAAUGAACUGACUGUGGGACCUGCUCUAGGUUCUGGCCUCCCAUCAGGCUGAGGCUGAUCUGGCCAGAAACAGCCUCAAGGCCCACCAAAUAAGCAUAGCUCCCAUUGGUGGCUUUGACUCUUAUUUCUUAAGCUUAUGGGCAAUUGUGAGCAAAAAUGCCCAUCAAAUCAAUGCUUUGAUACCCAAAUUAAGAUAUAGUCAUUUUGGCUGCUGCUCUUAAAUGUUCUUCAAGCACAAAGGCAGUCUAGGACAUCUAGAUACCCUGGUUACUGGGAGAUAAUGGCUGUCUGGUCCUCAGAAAACAGUUCUCAUUAACAUGUUCUAAAAUUACAGUUAUUUUUACUUUCAUUCAAUAUAUAUUGUCCCAUAUUAAGUUUAAUUUUAAUAAAAUUCUCAGAUUCUUUUAUUUUUUAAAUUUAAAUCUGAUAGCUUCAUCUCUAUUCUCUGAAUUAUUGAUGUCUGGUUUUUCUCUUCUAAAAGUUUAAUGUUUCAUUUUUGUCAAGAAUCUCUUGAGAUCAUGUAGUUUACCUGUUUUUAGCUCUUAAGUUUAGGUAUUGCUUAGACCAUUAUGCCCUCUUCCUCUGUCUCUAUUUGAGGACUACUAAUCUAAGUAAUUGUGAAUUUUAAGGUAUAACAAACUGGUGAGACUUCUUGGAAAUUCUAAAAACAAGUUUUACAGUAGCAUUUAACAUUAAUGAACCAUUAAUAUCAUUUCUUUGGGUAGAAAUAAUAUUAAAUAUGCAAUGUAACCAAUAAUAUUCCAAUUUGUUCCUACUUACAUAUCAAACUUGUCACUUUUUUGUUAGCUACAUUGAGUAUAAAUCAAUUAUUUUGAUCUAUUACUUUAAUAGAUCUUUAUUUGUUUCAGAAACUAUUUUCUAAUGAAUAGGGUUUUUUUUUAUAUAAAAUUAUAUUUUAUCCUGCAAGUAGGAGUAUUCCUUGACUGCUGUGUACGUCUGGUGAUUGACAUGUCUCCUGAGAAUACACCCAUUUAGUACGUUUGUGUUCUCCUCAGCCCAACUACAGAGCCUCUGUUGUUGCAGCACUGAUUCUUAGAUUUUGGAGAUGAACAAAGGGCUUUUUAUAAUCUUAGCAGUCAGAUCAGCAGACUCUGAAGUUGUAGUUUAAUCCUGUGUUUCUUACAUCUUAUUUACCCAUCCCAUUAUCAAAACUUCAUUUCUACUUUUGGAACAUAGCUAAAGCCAUAUUCAGAUGACUACUUCUUAUUUUAUUGUGUUCCUUGCAAUUAACAAGGUAAUGAGGUUGAAUCCAUUUGUUUUAAGCUUCUGAACAGUUUUGUACUAUAUCUGAAAGCAUUUCUAAAAUCCUUAAUAACAGCUUCUUGUUUUUUAGUGGACUUGAUACACUGGUCUUUAUAAUUUUUUUAUACUUUAUAAUUUAAAAAAAUGACUAGAAAAAAGGUUUCUUUCCAUUUUUAACAUUAAUUCUUGAUUCAUUUUGAGAUGAGAGGAUGUGUUCUUACUUGGUCCUGGCUGAGUAUGUGCACACUGCCACCACUUUCACAGAACUGGGUUUAUAAUGUGUACCAACUUCACUUCUUUUUCUGCUUAUGGUUUUCUUCCUUCCUUUUAUUCAUUUUUUAAAUCUUUAUUUUAAAUGCAACAGUCUUGUUUUGUAAGUCUAACCUCUCUUUACCAUUAAGUUUAAAAAUUAGUUUAUGUACUGGUCACAUAAAGCCAUCAUGCCUGUGUGCUUUUGAAUUACCGUUGAAGAAAAGGUAUAGUUUGUACACUUUCAAUCCAUUGCCCCUUUGAAAUUUUUAUAGCUUUGGAUUCUUAACCAUUUUUGGAAUAGCAUCAUAUCUCCUGGACUUCAUUUGUUCAUUCAUAAAAUAUUUAUUAAACAUAUACUUCAUGCCUGGCUCUGUUCAUAGCCUGGAAGUUCUGUCCUCGUGGAAAUUACACUUGAAUGGUAAAACAGACAAUUAAAUGUAAAAUAAACAGCAUGCUAGAGUGUGGUCAGUAUUAGAAAAAAAAAUCAUGUAUAGAAAAAGGAUUAAAGGAAAUAUGAAGUGGUAUUUAGAAGGGUGCGGGUGCCAUUUUAGUUUUGGUGAUCAAAAAAGACCCUACUGAGGGAGGGCAAUGACAUUUGAGUAAAGGCCCAAAGUUGGUGAGGAAGUAUAUGGUCUGGGUAACUUGCUUAUGCCUAAGUAUCUUUUUUUUUCUUCUUCUUCUUAAGAGGAGUUGAAUUCAGAAUCUGGCAUAUCACUCUUCCCAAAAAUACCAACAGAAAUUCUUGAUGAACACUGAGAAAAUAAAUGCCCAUUUUACUUGGACCAGUUUGACACUAAAUGUAUUCUUAUAAAGGAAUAAAAACUGAAGCUCCCACUAAGGGACAAGAACCUGUGUCUAAGGAAACAGCAAGACAUAGUACAGCUGA